This 473-nucleotide ribosomal RNA is filed under the name uncultured bacterium. RNAcentral's name for it is "bacterial SSU rRNA". It matches the Rfam family "Bacterial small subunit ribosomal RNA", at positions 355 to 825 of the family's 1533-position model. The record is from RNAcentral.
UGGGGAAUAUUGGACAAUGGGGGAAACCCUGAUCCAGCGACGCCGCGUGUGUGAAGAAGGCCUGCGGGUUGUAAAGCACUUUCGGUGGGAACGAAUGCUCCUGAAGUUAACAGCCUCAGGAGGUGACGGUACCCUCAAAGGAAGCACCGGCUAACUCUGUGCCAGCAGCCGCGGUAAUACAGAGGGUGCAAGCGUUGUUCGGAAUCAUUGGGCGUAAAGGGCGUGUAGGCGGUAUGUUAAGUCGGGUGUGAAAGCCCCGGGCUCAGCCUGGGAAGGGCACUCGAAACUGUCGAGCUGGAGUGCCGGAGGGGAGAGUGGAAUUCCUGGUGUAGCGGUGAAAUGCGUAGAUAUCAGGAGGAAUACCGGUGGCGAAAGCGACUCUCUGGACGGCAACUGACGCUGAGGCACGAAAGCGUGGGGAGCAAACAGGAUUAGAUACCCCCGUAGUCCCUGAGCGGGCUGGCAAGGCGCAU